CCUACGGGAGGCAGCAGUAGGGAAUUUUGCGCAAUGGGGGAAACCCUGACGCAGCAACGCCGCGUGAUUGAUGAAGCCCUUCGGGGUGUAAAGAUCUGUCAGUGGGGACGAAACUUGACGGUACCCACAGAGGAAGCAUCGGCUAACUCCGUGCCAGCAGCCGCGGUAAUACGGGGGAUGCAAGCGUUGUCCGGAAUCAUUGGGCGUAAAGAGUUCGUAGGUGGCACGUUAAGUCUGGUGUUAAAUGCAGAGGCUCAACCUCUGUUCGGCACUGGAUACUGGCGAGCUUGAAUGCGGUAGAGGUAAAGGGAAUUCGUGGUGUAGCGGUGAAAUGCUUAGAUAUCACGAAGAACUCCGAUUGCGAAGGCAGCUUACUAAACUGCCACUGACAUUGAUGCUCGAAAGUGUGGGUAUCAAACAGGAUUAGAUACCCCAGUAGUC
Molecule: ribosomal RNA, 441 nt
Filed under: uncultured bacterium
Lineage: Bacteria
Description: partial 16S ribosomal RNA
Rfam family: Bacterial small subunit ribosomal RNA
Source: RNAcentral